Molecule: ribosomal RNA, 747 nt
Filed under: Triticum aestivum (bread wheat)
Lineage: Eukaryota; Viridiplantae; Streptophyta; Magnoliopsida; Poales; Poaceae
Description: partial small subunit ribosomal RNA
Source: RNAcentral
AUGGAAGAAGAAAUUGAUGAAACAUUGAGCUCAUUGGAUGAAAAAGAUGAGGAGGAUAGCGAAGAACAAAAGGAGGAAGAAUGGAUUAGCUACCCGUGCCCACCUUCUAAUGAGAGUAACUCUUCAACUCAUACAUUGUUUAAUUUCCCUUCGUGCUUACCGAAGGAUGAUUGCUAUGAUGAUUGUUAUGAUCCCAUUGAUUCUCUUGAAAUAUCCCUUUUUGAUGAUGCUUGCUAUGCUUGUGACCAAGAUGCCAAUAUGAAUUAUGCUUAUGGAUAUGAACUUGCUAUAGUUCCUUAUGUUAAACAUGAAAUUGUUGCUAUUGCACCCACGCAUGAUAGUCCUAUUAUCUUUUUGAAUUCUCCCGACUACACUAUAUUGGAGAAGUUUGCACUUAUUAAGGAUUAUAUUGAUGGGUUGCCUUUUAUCGUUGCACAUGAUGAUUUUGAUGAAUAUAAUAUGCAUGUGCUUGCUGCUCGUACUUGCAAUUAUUAUGAGAGAGGAACUAUAUCUCCACCUCUCUAUGUUUCCAAUAUGAUAAAAUUACAAGAAACUGUUUAUACUAUGCAUUGGCCUUUACUAUGUGUGCAUGAAUUGUUCUUUUAUGACAUGCCGAUGCAUAGAAAGAUAGUUAGACUUCGUUGUUGUAUGAUAUAUGUUACUUUGUGCUCACUACUAAAUUACAAAUCAUUGUUAAUUAAAAUUGGCUUUGAUAUACCUUGGGAUCCGGGUGGAUUCAUUACUUGA